Molecule: ribosomal RNA, 459 nt
Filed under: uncultured bacterium
Lineage: Bacteria
Description: partial 16S ribosomal RNA
Rfam family: Bacterial small subunit ribosomal RNA
Source: RNAcentral
CCUACGUGAGGCAGCAGUGAGGAAUAUUGGUCAAUGGGCGUAAGCCUGAACCAGCCAAGUCGCGUGAGGGACGACGGCCCUACGGGUUGUAAACCUCUUUUGCCGGGGGACAAACGGCGGCACGCGUGCCGUCCGGAGGGUACCCGGAGAAAAAGCAUCGGCAAACUCCGUGCCAGCAGCCGCGGUAAUACGGAGGAUGCGAGCGGUAUCCGGAUUUAUUGGGGUUAAAGGGUGCGUAGGCGGGAUGCCAAGUCAGCGGUCAAAUACCGGGGCUCAACCUCGGCGCGCCGUUGAAACUGGCGUGCUUGAGUGGGCGAGAAGUAUGCGGAAUGCGUGGUGUAGCGGUGAAAUGCAUAGAUAUCACGCAGAACUCCGAUUGCGAAGGCAGCGUACCGGCGCCCAACUGACGCUGAAGCACGAAAGCGUGGGUAUCGAACAGGAUUAGAUACCCUAGUAGUC